Molecule: long non-coding RNA, 4800 nt
Organism: Pongo pygmaeus (Bornean orangutan)
Lineage: Eukaryota; Metazoa; Chordata; Mammalia; Primates; Hominidae
Exons: 3
Source: RefSeq, a predicted model, not a curated record
CCGCGUUUAGAGGAUCAGUGGCGGCGGCACCCGCGGCCCCGCGCGGCGCGGACGGCGGGCAGCACCGUGCCUGGGCCCCCUCCUGUUCCGGUUCCAGAAUGACGCUCGGCCCACGGACAGAGCCUGCCCAGUCACUCUCGGCUGCUAUUGAUCCCGAGGAUGAUGGCCGCCCCUGGCCACUUCCCUCCUCUCUCUUCGGCUCCAGAACAGCCCAAGGAGCAGAAAAGAGUGAUAAGGCCGUGAAAGGAGGCGCCUGGGACGUAGCCAGCUCUAGGAGGUUACCCCAUGCGGAGUACACACCCUGCUACACCCAUCCCGGAGGAGGGAGGAAAUAGCCAGCCCGGAGCACCCCUGGACUCUGCCGGUCUCAGAGGCCACGCAAACUCCGCCCAGACUCGGUGAGGCCGCGGUAAUGCCACGCAGGGAACUGCGUGGAUAAGGUCGCUCGGAUCUGAGCGCCAAGGUCUCCCGCCUCUCCUUCCCGUCUAGUUCUCUCCGGACUCAAAUUGCCUUAAUCUCACCCAUCACUGUCUCAUGGAAGUGAUCUACUCGUGUGCAGUACUUUACAGCUUGUAUCACUGUCUCCCCUGAACCGUAUAGCAAGCGGGUGGUGGAGGGUGGAAGAGAAGGGUACUAUCUCCACUUUCCCGGCCAGGAAGCCCAAUUUAGGAGGCUUGUCCGAGAUCCCUAGGUCAGCGCACUAUUUAAGGCUCGGGCAACAGGGGCACGACAGCCCCAUGGAAAUGCAGAGACCCAUGUCCACGCACACAAGCGCCAUUCACAGGGAAGUAUUUUCCUGACACAAAAUCCAAUGUCAGUUUCCUUUCCUUUCCCCGUUUUAUAUUUUUCCACCCCCCUUCACCAGAAAUAUUUUUUAACCUCCUCAGAGCCUUGGCGGAAAAGAGCCAUUAAUUUGCAAAUCAUCUGAUCUGUGAAAGGGUCAAGAUGCCUGGUUUUCACUGCUAAAUCCAAUGUCUUGAGUGGACACAGAGGCACACACAAGCCCGUCAUGCUGCCAACCCUUGGGAGCGUAGGUGCCAGAUCUGAAGCCAAGAAAAGACUCCCUCUCCUCCCGGGACCUGCAGCUGAAUUAAGCCUUAGAUUCCAAGCUGCAUAAUGUUCAUAUUUUUAAACCUGGAGAGAAGUGGAGAGAUGAAGGGGGACAAAAAGAGGGGGAACUUUGCUAAUUAACAUGUUCCAUUCAGGACUUAGACUAAUUGUCUUCCCCACUUCCAGCCGCCCCCCCCAACCCCACCCAAGCCAUUUCUUACAGGAGUUGCUUUUAUUCAUUCUCAUGUCCCACUCUUCUCAUUUUUGGAUUAAUAUCUACUUGUUUAAUAUCUACUGUGGAGCAAAAACGUGACCAUGCUCUUUCUUUUCAGAGGGUUGGAAGCAGCACAGAUUCCUAGACAAGGAGCUUGGAGACUUGGCUACACUGUCCCUGGCCAUUGGGGAAGACAUUUAGCCUUUCCGGGCCUCAGUUUUCCCAUCUGUAACAUGAGGGGAUUCGGCUAAAUGAUUACUGAGGUCCCUUCCAGCUUCGACCUCCUCUGACCGAAUGAGAUAAUGUGUGAAAACACUUUGUGAACACUAACACCGGACGAAUGCCAGGGAUCAUGAUUACGAUUCUAAUCAAUCCUCUUUUCUUCACAUGGAUCUUGGCUGUUUAGUGCCAGCAAGCAGGCUAAAUAGGGGGCUGAAAGCAAGAAAGCUUAACGGAGAUGGAAAAGCUCUGUGCCGUGGACGGAAAAAAAAAAAAACCCCUGCAUCUCCAUAAACAUUGUGUCUCUGUGUGCCCCCUGAGGCCUAGUGGGAAGGGUUGGGGAGGAGGAGGCCUGACUUGGUAUGACCCUGUGUGCCCCCCUGAGGCCUAGUGGGAAGGGUUGGGGAGGAGGAGGCCUGACUUGGUAUGACCCAUUUCAGUCUACAUGGCGGCAGAGAGUGUAUUUCUUCAAAAGCAUUGUUGGUCUCCAAGUGACUGACAUGGGAACCUGAUGGGAAGGCGAUUUGCAAUUGUUUUUUUCCAGGAAGAAAGAAAGAGCAAGGUGUAGCUGAUUAGCAAGUUAAUUAUUUCAGUACCCCAAGGGUUCCAGUGUGGUGGUAAGUUGUCCAGCCCUGGUAUAAUUUCACAGUCUGUGCAUUUCCUGGUGAGCACCUGGGGUGCCCGAGUCUGUCUCUUUCUCCUUCCACCUGCCUUGUGUCUUCCUGACACACCUGGGGAGAUGAGCAGGGGCUGGGGAGGUUGAUGGUACAAGGUACACAUUCGGCUUAGGCUGCGGGUGGGGGCCACACCGAGAACAGGGUGGAGGAAGCCCAACUGAUGCCAUCUACCUCCGCUGAGUGUUUAAUUAUCUGGCCCUUUCUUCUUUAAAAAAAUCUUUUGUUUAAUAAAUAUUAAUGAGGCGGGUUAUCGGAAAGUGUAGUUGCCAUGAGGUUAUUUCCCUAGCCUUAGCAUGGAAAGAAACUGGGUUUGAGGAGCCUUUCGGCCCCUCACCGCCUCCUACCCCCACCAGCUCUCCCGUGCUCACGUUCCGCAGCAGCUCCUCCGGUCUCACUUCAAGAUUUGAUUUCCCCUUGGGGGAGGGGAGGGGAGGGGAGGGAGGAUCGUGUGGUCAAAUGGACACUUCCCCUCGGAGAGAUAAGUUGGAGAUGUGAACAUUAGCCUCAAGAAUUAACAGCUUCUGCCGCUCUCUGCUCUCGGGGCUGAGAGGGCCAGCCCCCCCCGCUGCUCCUUCCGAGAUGGAUGAAGGGAGGGCUCUACAGUUUACUUAAGAGUGGUCCCAUCUGCUCAGACUGGCCUUUCAUAAGGGGAGGGAUUUAUGCAGUGUCCUUGUGCACAGACCUGGGAUUUGGCUGAAAACCUUGGGCCUCUGAGAAUAUUACUGAACGCUAAAACGUUCAGCCAUGGAGAUGAUUCAUGAUUUUGUCUGCAUGGACAGGGUGGGUGUGUGUGUGUGUGUGGUGUGUGUGUGUGUGUGCGUGUGUGUGUGUGUGUGUGUGCGCGCGCGCGCGCACGCCUGUUUGUUGGGGUUGCACGCACAGUGAUGAUGGGUGCUAUUCACCGUUCUCACUUUGAAUCCAAAUGUUAGGAAACUUUUUUUCCUUCUGUAUUCACUCAGGAGACAGGCCCUGGCACCAGGCUCUGGAGAGCCCACUUCCUGACUCCAGCGGUGCGAAGAUGAUACAAUACUUUCUGGUGUUGACAUUCAGCUGUCCCCCAAACAGGUUGGCUGAUAGCCCUGCUGGUCCUUGGAGAGGGGCCGGGGGCUGUCUAAAAAGACAGUUCUGAUGACUGCUUCAUUGCUAGUGGCAGAGGAUUUGGGGCACAGGGGUGGAGUUAAGUCCAAUUGCUGUUUAAAUUGGACUUGGCCUCCUUUAUUUUACAGUCCUAAGGGGUCUCCAUAGGAGAAAAAGUAGCGAGAGAAACUUAGAACAUAGGAAAGCAAGCAUAGGGAAGAGUUUCUUGUCUCAAUCUUGGUACUGCUGUGCCAAAAUGAAGCCCAGGGAUGGUUAAAAACGGAUCCUAGGGGCUGGGCACCUUGGCUCAGGCCUGUAAUCCCAGCACUUUGGGAGAUCAAGAUGGGAGGAUUGCUUGAGGCUAGGAGUUCCAGACCAGCCUGGCCAACAUAGUGAGACCUCAUCUCCAAAAAUAAAAACUUAAAAAAAAUUUUAAAAAACAAAAACAAAAAUACAGAUCCUAGGGAACAGAGCUUUGAGGUUCCCUGUGGGAUCUUGGCCUGAGUCUUGGGAGAUGAAGUCCUUGGCAAGUUUGAAAAGAUCUGCAAGUGCCAUCUAUUCAGGGGACUAAAUGUGAUUUUUUUUCACUGCCCAGUGGCUGGUAAGGAAGGAAGCACUUUGCAUUUUCAGCUUGCAGGAUGGUUAUUGGUGGUCCUACCAUCUUGCUCAUGUUCAAGUUUGGUUGUGUAGAUGAAGACCCCAGCUUCCCAGCUCUUAGUUUUUCUUUUCCCUCAGGCCAUUCAUAAUUUAGCUAACAUUCUAGUCCAUUGACCAGCACACAUUUUGAAAGGUGAGCUGGCAAGCCUGUAACUGUGUGCAAGGUUGUUCGCAUUUAGGCUCCGGGAAGGAUAUAGUUUCCCCAUAAGAAAGAAAAGUAGGCGAGAGGCUGAGGUGGGAGGUCACUUGAGUCCGGGAGGCAAAGGUUGCAGUGAGCUGAGAACCAUGCCACUCACUGCCUUCCAGCUUGGGUGACAGAGUGAGACCCCAUCUCAAAAAAAAAAAAAAAAAAAAAAGAGAAAAUAAAUAAAAGCAAGGAACUAUUUAUAUGAAUAUUUUAAUGAAGGAUUUACCAAUCUGAUAAGUACAAAGCUCCUUUUCCUCCUUCUGAAUGAGUAACUAUGUCAGUCAAUGUUGAGGGUCUGCAGAACCUAUAAAAAAAUGCUUUCUUUGGUCUCUCAGUUUUAACACAUGCUGGGGCUUGGGCCUGUCUCUGACAGACUGGGGAGGAGUAGACACAUUCCAGAGACCAGGUCUUGGAGUGUUAUCUCUUCCCCUACCUCAAAUCCUCACCCUCCACUUUAUCUGUCUUUAGCACGAAUGCAGAGACCUCCUAGGGAAGUGUGAAGGGAUGGGUUUUCAUCAGGUUUGGGGAAGGAAGGGGAAUAAGAUGAGCCCCAAAGAAAGACGGGGGUCACUUGGAAUUUUUAGAUGACACUCUUUUGUUAUACUUUUCUUGUGUUGUGUAUUAUGUCCUACAAAUCGUGCAUUUGUUACAGUAAGCCACAGUGUGUAUGUGUGUUUGCCAAGUGCUGCUUGGCCAAAACAGUGUUAAAUAAAAUUGUA